Transfer RNA from Felis catus (domestic cat), 85 nucleotides. It matches the Rfam family "tRNA". Rfam says of the family: Transfer RNA (tRNA) molecules are approximately 80 nucleotides in length. Their secondary structure includes four short double-helical elements and three loops (D, anti-codon, and T loops). Further hydrogen bonds mediate the characteristic L-shaped molecular structure. tRNAs have two regions of fundamental functional importance: the anti-codon, which is responsible for specific mRNA codon recognition, and the 3' end, to which the tRNAs corresponding amino acid is attached (by aminoacyl-tRNA synthetases). tRNAs cope with the degeneracy of the genetic code in two manners: having more than one tRNA (with a specific anti-codon) for a particular amino acid; and 'wobble' base-pairing, i.e. permitting non-standard base-pairing at the 3rd anti-codon position. The record is from Rfam. NCBI's taxonomy places the organism in Eukaryota, Metazoa, Chordata, Mammalia, Carnivora, Felidae.
GCCUGGGUAGCUCAGUCGGUUAAGCAUCUGACUUUGGCUCAGGUCAUGAUCUCAUCGUCCGUGAGUUCGAGCCCCGCGUCGGGCU